Long non-coding RNA from Grammomys surdaster, 426 nucleotides. RefSeq lists it as uncharacterized. The record is from RefSeq and is a predicted model, not a curated record. The transcript has 2 exons. Lineage: Eukaryota; Metazoa; Chordata; Mammalia; Rodentia; Muridae.
UGCUGGGGCAGGACGAAAAUCUCGGAGCUGGGCCUGAAGUGUUGGAGUCCAGCCUUGCUGGUCAUUGCCCAGGGCUGGGAGUAAGGGCGGGGCCGAAGCUUCCGACAGGGGUGUGAGCUCUAGAGGCCUAAGCCCUGGUGCGGACGGGAUUCGGAGAUGGGAGGAGAUCCAGGCACAGGUGCAAAGCGAGAAAGUGGUUGCAGCGUAGCUCUCUGAAGUCCUGCCUCUGGGGAGAUAAGAGAGCCGCUGUCCUGGAGGACCGAGAUAUCCUAGGGCCCUCAGCCCUCUGAUGCCAGGGUCAGGUUCAUGAUCCUCUGUGGGCCUUAAACAACAACGCCCUUGAUUUGAAGCACGGCUAAAUAUGCCAACACAGCCAUUUCCCUCCAUUCUGAAAUUUUUGUUUUAAAAUUAAAAUUUAAAGGAAUA